Molecule: ribosomal RNA, 375 nt
Filed under: Ceratobasidiaceae sp. CBS 605.93
Lineage: Eukaryota; Fungi; Basidiomycota; Agaricomycetes; Cantharellales; Ceratobasidiaceae
Description: eukaryotic LSU rRNA
Rfam family: Eukaryotic large subunit ribosomal RNA (bases 314-375)
Source: RNAcentral
GUGAAUCAUCGAAUCUUUGAACGCAUCUUGCGCUCCUUGGUAUUCCUUGGAGCAUGCCUGUUUGAGUAUCAUGAGCAAAUCUCAAAGUCAAUUCCUUUUGUUAAUUCAAUUGGUUUUGCUUUGGACUUGGAGGUCUUGCAGAUUUCACAGUCUGCUCCUCUUAAAUCCAUUAGCUGGAUCUCAGUAAUUAUGCUUGGUUCCACUCGGCGUGAUAAGUAUCACUCGCUGAGGACACUGUUAAAAAGGUGGCCAGGAAAAUACUGAUUGAACCGCUUCUAACGGUCUAUUAAGUUAGACAAUUGACCCUUAAGUUUGAUCUCAAAUCAGGUAGGACUACCCGCUGAACUUAAGCAUAUCAAUAAGCGGAGGAAAAGA